AGCGAACGCUGGCGGCAGGCCUAACACAUGCAAGUCGAACGAACCUUUCGUGAGUAGUUGCGGACGGGUGAGUAACACGUGGGAACGUGCCUUUAUGUUCGGAAUAACUCAUUUAAACGUGGGCUAAUACCGGAUGUGCCCUUCUGGUGAAAGAUUUAUCGCCUUUAGAGCGGCCCGCGUCUGAUUAGCUAUUUGGUUUAGGUAAUGGCUCACCAAGGCUACAAUCAUUAGCUGGUCUGAGAGGAUGAUCAGCCACAUCGGGACUGAGACACGGCGCAAAAUACUACGGGAGGGAGCAGUGGGGAAUCUUGCGCAAUGGGCGAAAGGCUGACGCAGCCAUGCCGGGUGAAUGAUGAAGGUGUUAGGAUUGUAAAAUUCUUUCACCGGGGACGAUACUGACGGUACCCGGAGAAGAAGCCCCGGCUAACUUCGUG
This 434-nucleotide ribosomal RNA is filed under the name uncultured bacterium. Its description in RNAcentral is "partial 16S ribosomal RNA". It matches the Rfam family "Bacterial small subunit ribosomal RNA", at positions 29 to 507 of the family's 1533-position model. The record is from RNAcentral.